Long non-coding RNA from Magnolia sinica, 1399 nucleotides. RefSeq lists it as uncharacterized. The record is from RefSeq and is a predicted model, not a curated record. Lineage: Eukaryota; Viridiplantae; Streptophyta; Magnoliopsida; Magnoliales; Magnoliaceae. The transcript has 3 exons.
UCUUCUUGAGGCUGCCACAGAAUUGUGGAAGACAGUACAUGAUAUCUAUUCUGAAUAAAAUAACAUUGUAAUUUUCUACCAAGUACUUCUGCUCAUACCUCAGUUUAAGCAAGGCAUGAAAGUGUGGGUAUUACAAUCUUGUUAAUAGCGUUACUAGUAAAAACUGGUUUGAAUGGGUUUAUGUCUUCACAUCUCGGCCUAAGUGCACCACUAACAUGGUUUCUCAUGGUUGAGCAGGGUUGAACUAAGUGGUCCAGGUUUUGAAACCUGCAUGGAAGGUUUCUUCUGAAGCUUGAUUUGCUGAACUUACAUUCAUCAGCUACGACUAAUUUUAAAAUUUUCUUCCAUAUUUCUCUAAUUGUAUCAUUCUCUUCCGUAUUUCUCUAAUUGUAUUAAAUUAUUAGUUAAAAGACCUAUCUAGUUAUGGCACUAGUUGUUUCAUUGUUUCAUUUACAGCAGUAGAUAAGUAACUUAUUUCAAAUAAUCUUGCCAUUUUUGAAAUAUUCUAUAUGAUUUGGAACCUUCAAGUAUCAUCUUGAUUUGUUGGUUUACAACAGGUAAAGAUUUGGGAAGACAGGAAGGCAUUGCCCCAUGUGCACUAGGACCCUCUAAUUCCUGCUUUUUCUUUGGCCCAUCUGGGACUUCUUUCACCUUUCUUAGUACAUCUUUGUUACAUAUUUUGACUUAGAAGUUAUUGUAUCAAAUGAUAAAAAUUCUAUUACAAAUUUACAAUUAUAUGCCACAUGUGCAAUUUGUAAGUAAUUUCUAAGCUUUUAUACCAACUUUGACUGAAUUAACAGAAUUUUCAUUUGAGGCCAAUAGUCUGUAUAGAUGGGGGGAUAUUUUGCAUUAAUGAUGAUGAUACAUAUCAUUCGUUAGGUGGAUCCCAAUGUUAAUGUUCAACAGAUCAGAAAUCUACUCUAUUGAACAAUCAUAGCUAUCUGAUCGGUGGACUUCCUCGAGUUGCAUAUGCAUAUCUCUAGUUACUGCAUCAUUUCAUCUACAAUUUGAUGUUUAAAAAUGUUUCUGCAUCAUAAAUACUGGGAAUGUAAUUACAAUUUGACCAUUGCCGGUCUACAAUUUAAUCUUUCCUAUUAACUAAAUUAUGUAUUUCAAGGUUAUUUUCUCCAUCAACGCAAGGCAGAGAUGACAGAUUUCCUGACAAAGAUUGCAUUGUGGAAUAUGCAUCCAUUAUCCAAAGAAAUUGUGACAUUCCAAGCACUCACAGUCUCUCCUUGCAAGCUAAAUUGGCUGACAAGCUAAAGAAGUCAGUAGAGGAUGAAAUUCAUUUUCUCAAGGCAAGGGUUUCAGAACUUGAAAGUAAUCUUGUGUCGAAGUCUACAGAAGUUACAUCUGCAGUUUCAAGGAAAGAAGAAGCUCUAUCUUCUGCAUUUGCUGA